This 470-nucleotide ribosomal RNA is filed under the name Veillonella dispar. Its description in RNAcentral is "bacterial SSU rRNA". It matches the Rfam family "Bacterial small subunit ribosomal RNA", at positions 28 to 475 of the family's 1533-position model. Lineage: Bacteria; Bacillati; Bacillota; Negativicutes; Veillonellales; Veillonellaceae. The record is from RNAcentral.
GACGAACGCUGGCGGCGUGCUUAACACAUGCAAGUCGAACGAAGAGCGAUGGAAGCUUGCUUCUAUCAAUCUUAGUGGCGAACGGGUGAGUAACGCGUAAUCAACCUGCCCUUCAGAGGGGGACAACAGUUGGAAACGACUGCUAAUACCGCAUACGAUCUAAUCUCGGCAUCGAGGAUAGAUGAAAGGUGGCCUCUAUUUAUAAGCUAUCACUGAAGGAGGGGAUUGCGUCUGAUUAGCUAGUUGGAGGGGUAACGGCCCACCAAGGCGAUGAUCAGUAGCCGGUCUGAGAGGAUGAACGGCCACAUUGGGACUGAGACACGGCCCAGGCUCCUACGGGAGGCAGCAGUGGGGAAUCUUCCGCGAUGGACGAGAGUCUGACGGAGCAACGCCGCGUGAGUGAUGACGGCCUUCGGGUUGUAAAGCUCUGUUAAUCGGGACGAGAGGCCUUCUUGCGAAUAGUUAGAAGG